Bos taurus (domestic cattle) is the source of this 72-nucleotide non-coding RNA. Lineage: Eukaryota; Metazoa; Chordata; Mammalia; Artiodactyla; Bovidae. The record is from Rfam.
UACUUACUAGCUCAGACAGUAGAGCAUCUGCCUGCAAUGCAGGAGACCUGGGUUCAAUCCCUGGGUCGGGAA